AGCCGCCGGCCCUCCUGCCCACCUCCAGCCCAGCGCCGGCGCCGGUGGUCACCGCUCCAUGGCUCCAUGUCCGCCCCGCGCCUCCGCGGCCUCCUCCUCCAUCGCAUCCCGCACGACUGCCGGCUCUCCCGCAGGAUCGGAUCCCGCCCACCUCCACCUCAGCGCCGGUGCUCACCGCGCCAUGGCCGCCCCGCGCCUCCACCACCUGCUUCUCUGCUGGACCGAAUCCUGCCGCCGACCAGCGCCAAUGCUCACCGCGCCAUGGCCGCCCCCCUCGCUUGCUCGCGCCACCCAUCCACCACCGUGCUGCCCGCUGUUGGCCAUCUGUUUCGGCCGACCGGCGGCCGCCGGUACGACGUCUUCUUGGCGCUGGGACGCGGACUGGGCGCUGUUCCGUUGCCGCUGCCCCAGGUCGUCGAGGAACAAUACUGUUAGGCUGGGCGAACCCCCUUCCUCUGCUCCAAGCCUCCAGGUGCAGUUGGGAUGCAGGCCAUCCGCCCUUUGUCCACUGGUGUCGUUGCUCUGCUCCGCCCUCUGGCCACCAUCGAUGUUCCUCUGCUCCACUGCCGUCAUCAUUUGCCAGGAACCCGGUUUUAUCCACGUCUUCCCCAGGUCAACACAGCCGCAUUUAGUUCACUGCUUCUGACUAAGCUUCUCGAUGUGGAGGUGAUGUAAUCCCGUUGUUCUUCAGUGGUUUUUAGCUUGCUGACACCAAAUGGCCCACACUUUUAUCUUUUGAAUUAAACUGUUCAACUAAAAAGCAAAUAAACCCUUCGGCUGUAGGCCAUUGACGAUUGACUAUUCACUUCCUCUCCCCACGAUCUCCACAAGUAACUGACUUAUUGAUCUCCACAAGUAACUGACUUAUUCCCAUUUAAAUUGUGUGCUCCACAAUCCAUUUCAUUCCCAUCGUCCUCCAUAGUAGUCAUACAGCUACCCCUGGUGAGCAAAUCUCUCCCCCGUCCGCAUGCACAUUCCCUGUGACAUUUUUGCUGAUUCAUCACAGCUUUGGACUUCCUCAGGUACUGGACAAAAUUGGACACCCAGCUUCCCAUCUUGGUUGUUCUUCCCCUGCUGCAUACCCAGACACCUUGGAUUGACGGCUCCUCUAGACUUGCCGACAUGGAUAGGGCAGAAAGCUCUUCGCAUAAUUCAGUUGGACGAAAACGUCAUCCAUCAUUACCUAAUCCUCCUCCUUGAGUAAACCCAUAUGUUGCUGCCCAGAACAGACGUGUGCGUCUGGAACUCAUGGUUCAAAAAGGAAAAAGAGCAACAACCUCUAGAGGAAAACAAACAUCAGAACAACCUGCAAAUGAAGAAUCAUCCACAUCGACGUCACACAUAGAAAAUCCGGUCUUUGCCCAUAACCGAACUAUAUUUCAACCCUUAAACCUUGGAGGUCCCCAUCAUUCUUGCAAACACUGUGGUGCUCUGUUUUGGUAUGAAGAGCGUCUACGCAGAGAAAGACACACUCCAGAUCCAACAUAUAAUUUGUGUUGCAAGGGAGGAAAAGUUUACCUGCAGCCAUAUGAUCCUCCUGCUCAACCUCUUGGAUUUACUCACAUCCCAGGACAGAACGCUCUCCAGUCACUUCUUUAAACAUAUUAGGCAGUACAAUACGAUGUUUGCAAUGACUUCAAUGGGAGCUAAAAUUAAUGAA
Molecule: long non-coding RNA, 1660 nt
Organism: Triticum aestivum (bread wheat)
Lineage: Eukaryota; Viridiplantae; Streptophyta; Magnoliopsida; Poales; Poaceae
Exons: 4
Source: RefSeq, a predicted model, not a curated record